AAUAAACGCUGGCGGCGUGUCUUAAGCAUGCAAGUCGAACGGCAAGAAAGUGCUUGCACUUUCCUAGAGUGGCGGACUGGUGAGUAACACGUGGGUGACGUACCCUUUGGACGGGGAUAGUCGGUAGAAAUACCGGGUAAUACCGGAUAAGGUCAUAUAAGUUGGAGAUAUAUGAGGAAAGUGGCUAUGGCCACGCCGAAGGAACGGCCUGCGGCCUAUCAGCUAGUUGGUGAGGAAAAGGCCCACCAAGGCGAUGACAGGUAUCCGGCCUGAGAGGGUGAACGGACACAUUGGGACUGAGAUACGGCCCAGACUCCUACGGGAGGCAGCAGCUAAGAAUAUUCCGCAAUGGACGAAAGUCUGACGGAGCAACGCCGCGUGGAUGAUGAAGGUCGGAAGAUUGUAAAAUCCUUUUAUUAUUGAAGAAUAAACUGUACAGGGAAUGGUAUAGAGGUGACAGUAGGUAAUGAAUAAGCACCGGCUAAUUACGUGCCAGCAGCCGCGGUAACACGUAAGGUGCGAGCGUUAUUCGGAAUUAUUGGGCGUAAAGGGCACGCAGGCGGUUAUGCAAGCUUGGUGUGAAAUACUGGGGCUUAACCCCAGAACUGCAUUGAGAACUGCAAGACUAGAGUCAGUGAGGGGAAAUCGGAAUUCCAGGUGUAGGGGUGAAAUCUGUAGAUAUCUGGAAGAACACCAAUGGCGAAGGCAGAUUUUCAGCGCAUGACUGACGCUCAGGUGCGAAGGUGCGGGGAUCAAACAGG
This 761-nucleotide ribosomal RNA is filed under the name uncultured Treponema sp. RNAcentral's name for it is "bacterial SSU rRNA". It matches the Rfam family "Bacterial small subunit ribosomal RNA", at positions 28 to 776 of the family's 1533-position model. Lineage: Bacteria; Pseudomonadati; Spirochaetota; Spirochaetia; Treponematales; Treponemataceae. The record is from RNAcentral.